CGCUAAUGACCAGGUAACGCUUGAUUGACAACCCUGACACAAUCUAUGAAAAGUCAAUUGACCACACCGGCGAUGCUUUAAUGCGUCCUCUUGAAUUGCUGUAUGUUAUGUGUCGGCACUGACUCGGCAGGAGCUUGUAAUGACUUGGGGCACAGACCAGCUGAUUGUCAAAACUUGGAGCGCGCUUCCUGUCACAUAGCGCACACCGCGGCGUGUGAGAAUCGCCGAAUCGAGCAUUUUUGGCUCCACGUAUGCUUGCAGUUGUUUGCUCACAUCUAAAAAAAAAAAAAAAAAAAAACAACAACAUCAAGACCAACCUACGAUUGCAUUUAACGGAUGGACGCCGCAACGCCUGCAUGAAGCUGAACCUCACCACGUAUCAGCAAGACUACAAAGCCAUCAGCAAAACCGUGCCUUACUAGAAGUCGCAUCAAUGACAUGCGCAACAUCAGAUUGGAUUUGGAAGAAUCCUUUACGGACCGACAGGACUAGACCGCCGUAUCCACAGUACAAUGACGAUCUUCGUGCUGCAUUGGACAAGAGGUUUUAAUUGGAUGCAGCAGUCGUGGAUUAGUAGUGGGAAGAAAAAAAGUAACAGCUGUGGAGACACAAAACGAACUGACGUGAGCUCGUAGUGUCGUGUACAUAUACUGAAACUCAAUCGCUAGCGCCCCCUGGAAUGUUAGAACGCCGUCAUGGUGGUCACACGUGAUAUGCAGUGGUUCGUUGAGAUACUGUACGAGCGACCCGACUUGUACAUUUUCCGAGAUGCAAGCCGUCGUUCUGCAGAUUUUUUUCGCUUUGAGUUGCAGACAAAAAAUUGGACACACCAGCGCUGUAUGGUGGCAACGAACUCAACUCAACUCACUUCACAACACGCAAUCAUUUGACAGAUAAGGAACAAUUCUUACAAAAUGAGGAUUCGAUCUGUUCAAAUCCACUCCCAGUCGAAGUUUAUAGUCAAAGUGAACAUAAGAUGAGUAUUUAAAACAACAUUUUUAAAUACCAAUUUAAUUUUUUCACCUCAGGCGCCUGACAAAGGUGAAAAGGUGUGGGUUUUUUUUACACAGCAGCAGUGUGAAACAGUAAUUAAUGCCUUCAUCACACCUUGAUAUAGAUUAUUAUAAUGCACUUAACUUUGGAGUCAGCCAGUCCUUCCUCAAAGUUGAGCUCCAAAUUUUGAUGGUGUUUUCACUGUAGCGUACUGCCAAGAAAGCUAAUAAAAUGACCCUUUCCCAUUAAAAGCCAACGUUGUUUGACCUCCGACGAUAUCAUUACUCCCUCCCUUAGAAGCGCACGAUGCCAAAAUCCAGACUGUUAUGAUUCAUGCCUCCCACACAGGAAAUUGCGGAGCCAAAAGACAUUUCCUCUGAGAAUAUUUUUUUUUUUUUUAUCUGUAGAAAACAGCUGUUGGACUAUCCCAAUGUUCCGAAACAGAAACACUUAUCUUUGAAGCAUUUGCGGAAAAUGAUUAAUAUCUUCAUUAUCAGAAAUCAGCUUUGGCAUUUAUAGUGUGUACGUAUAUAUAUAUAUAUAUUUCAAAGUCUUCAACUAUCCGUCACCUGUAAG
Phyllopteryx taeniolatus (common seadragon) is the source of this 1569-nucleotide long non-coding RNA. RefSeq lists it as uncharacterized. NCBI's taxonomy places the organism in Eukaryota, Metazoa, Chordata, Actinopteri, Syngnathiformes, Syngnathidae. The record is from RefSeq and is a predicted model, not a curated record. The transcript is spliced from 3 exons.